GAUGAACGCUGGCGGCGUGCCUAAUACAUGCAAGUCGAGCGAACGGACGAGAAGCUUGCUUCUCUGAUGUUAGCGGCGGACGGGUGAGUAACACGUGGAUAACCUACCUAUAAGACUGGGAUAACUUCGGGAAACCGGAGCUAAUACCGGACAAUAUUUUGAACCGCAUGGUUCAAAAGUGAAAGACGUUCUUGCUGUCACUUAUAGAUGGAUCCGCGCUGCAUUAGCUAGUUGGUAAGGUAACGGCUUACCAAGGCAACGAUGCAUAGCCGACCUGAGAGGGUGAUCGGCCACACUGGAACUGAGACACGGUCCAGACUCCUACGGGAGGCAGCAGUAGGGAAUCUUCCGCAAUGGGCGAAAGCCUGACGGAGCAACGCCGCGUGAGUGAUGAAGGUCUUCGGAUCGUAAAACUCUGUUAUUAGGGAAGAACAUAUGUGUAAGUAACUGUGCACAUCUUGACGGUACCUAAUCAGAAAGCCACGGCUAACUACGUG
Molecule: ribosomal RNA, 497 nt
Filed under: uncultured bacterium
Lineage: Bacteria
Description: partial 16S ribosomal RNA
Rfam family: Bacterial small subunit ribosomal RNA
Source: RNAcentral